This 25-nucleotide small nuclear RNA is filed under the name Arabidopsis thaliana (thale cress). RNAcentral describes it as "snRNA_10210". Lineage: Eukaryota; Viridiplantae; Streptophyta; Magnoliopsida; Brassicales; Brassicaceae. The record is from RNAcentral.
AAAGGUAAUUUGGAUUACCUCAUUU